This 282-nucleotide ribosomal RNA is filed under the name Clostridium sp. 98. Its description in RNAcentral is "partial 16S ribosomal RNA". It matches the Rfam family "Bacterial small subunit ribosomal RNA", at positions 62 to 342 of the family's 1533-position model. Lineage: Bacteria; Bacillati; Bacillota; Clostridia; Eubacteriales; Clostridiaceae. The record is from RNAcentral.
UCGAACGGUGGAAGCCAAGCUUGCUUGNUGGAUCAGUGGCGAACGGGUGAGUAACACGAUGAGCAACCUGCCCUGGACUCUGGGAUAAGCGCUGGAAACGGCGUCUAAUACUGGAUAUGAGCNNNNAUCGCAUGGUGGGGGUUGGAAAGAUUUUUUGGUCUGGGAUGGGCUCGCGGCCUAUCAGCUUGUUGGUGAGGUAAUGGCUCACCAAGGCGUCGACGGGUAGCCGGCCUGAGAGGGUGACCGGCCACACUGGGACUGAGACACGGCCCAGACUCCUAC